Trichonephila clavata is the source of this 73-nucleotide non-coding RNA. Lineage: Eukaryota; Metazoa; Arthropoda; Arachnida; Araneae; Nephilidae. The record is from the annotation of a GenBank genome assembly.
GUCCCUGUUGCGCAAUGGAUAGUUCGUUGGACAUCUAAUCCAAAGGUCGUGGGUUCGAAUUCCAUCUGGGAUG